Molecule: RNase P RNA, 431 nt
Filed under: Treponema sp.
Lineage: Bacteria; Pseudomonadati; Spirochaetota; Spirochaetia; Treponematales; Treponemataceae
Description: RNase P RNA component class A
Rfam family: Bacterial RNase P class A
About the family: Ribonuclease P (RNase P) is a ubiquitous endoribonuclease, found in archaea, bacteria and eukarya as well as chloroplasts and mitochondria. Its best characterised activity is the generation of mature 5'-ends of tRNAs by cleaving the 5'-leader elements of precursor-tRNAs.
Source: RNAcentral
GCGAUGAACCAGACCGCCGCUGUGCGCUCAUCUUAGGGUGGGCGUAUGGAGGAAAGUCCGGGCUCCGCAGGACAUGAUGCCGGGUAACGCCCGGGCCCGGUGCUUAGGUGCCGGGACAGAGAGCGCAACAGAAAGCAAACCGCCUGCCCAGCGCCUGCUGGAUGGGUAAGGGUGAAACGGCGGGGUAAGAGCCCACCACGGCGGCGGCAACGCAGCCGGUACGGCAAGCCGCAUCAGGAGCAAAGCCAAGCAGCGUGGGGGCCUAAAGCCGAUUGGCUUUGGGCCGCGCCAACGGUCCGUUGGUCAAACGCGGGUAGGCUGCAACGAAAGGGCCGGCAACGGCCUUUCAAGACAGAUGGCGGUCAGCCAGGAGCGGCGCCUUGCAAGGCGUGCCUCUGGCGACAGAACCCGGCUUAUGGUUCAUCGUUUUU